ACCAACUCAUUGAAAUGAACAGAGGGCGAGGGUAAACAUGAAACUGCAACAUGCAUAUUAAAUAAGCAGAAGAGAAGUUUAGACAAGAGUCCCAAGAAGAGAAGAGAUGGGCUUCAGAUUUGCCUCUUGGUCUAUCAUCCACUUCAGUGUUUUUCCAACGUGAUAAAAUUCACGAUAGAACGAUGAUUACAUAUGUUUUUUUUGGGGAAAUGAAGAUGAUCACAUCUAGCUGAUGACAAGGGUUUUGCGGCCCGAAGGCAGGACCUAACUGACUGGCCGAUCGGGAUAAGUCAACUGAACUCCGACAGUCAGAUCAGCCCCCUCAACCCAUAUCUGAUGGGGAGCCUGUCCACAACAUAGGCACGAUUGACUUUUGAAUACCACAUACUAACUGAGUAGUGGUUGCACUCUGAACUGUAUAUAACUACAGUAUCGUGCUCUGCUGGCUGAAUAGGGUCCAUUAGGGUCUGAUACUAUAUAUAAAUAACUUGUAUUUCUAAAAUACUGUGUAAGAACCUGAACCGUGAUGUAUGGACUUAUUAUGUA
Molecule: long non-coding RNA, 546 nt
Organism: Malania oleifera
Lineage: Eukaryota; Viridiplantae; Streptophyta; Magnoliopsida; Santalales; Ximeniaceae
Exons: 4
Source: RefSeq, a predicted model, not a curated record